AUACGUAGGGUGCGAACGUUGUCCGGAAUUACUGGGCGUAAAGAGCUCGUAGGUGGUUUGUCGCGUCGUCUGUGAAAUUCCGGGGCUUAACUCCGGGCGUGCAGGCGAUACGGGCAUAACUUGAGUACUGUAGGGGAGACUGGAAUUCCUGGUGUAGCGGUGAAAUGCGCAGAUAUCAGGAGGAACACCGGUGGCGAAGGCGGGUCUCUGGGCAGUAACUGACGCUGAGGAGCGAAAGCAUGGGUAGCGAACAGGAUUAGAUACCCUGGUAGUCCAUGCCGUAAACGGUGGGCGCUAGGUGUAGGGGUCUUCCACGACUUCUGUGCGUAGCUAACGCAUUAAGCGCCCCGCCUGGGGAGUACGGCCGCAAGGCUAAAACUCAAAGGAAUCGACGGGG
RNAcentral lists this ribosomal RNA (397 nucleotides) under uncultured bacterium. RNAcentral's name for it is "partial 16S ribosomal RNA". It matches the Rfam family "Bacterial small subunit ribosomal RNA", at positions 523 to 918 of the family's 1533-position model. The record is from RNAcentral.